Molecule: transfer RNA, 59 nt
Filed under: Torleya mikhaili
Lineage: Eukaryota; Metazoa; Arthropoda; Insecta; Ephemeroptera; Ephemerellidae
Description: tRNA-Asn
Source: RNAcentral
AGCGAAGCCAAAGUAGAGGCUUAUCACUGUUAAUGAUAGAAGUGAUUUUUAAAUCCGCU